RNAcentral lists this transfer RNA (76 nucleotides) under Ahnfeltia plicata. RNAcentral's name for it is "tRNA-Pro". It matches the Rfam family "tRNA". From Rfam's summary of the family: Transfer RNA (tRNA) molecules are approximately 80 nucleotides in length. Lineage: Eukaryota; Rhodophyta; Florideophyceae; Ahnfeltiales; Ahnfeltiaceae. The record is from RNAcentral.
UUAGAGUAUAGCGUAACUGGUAACGUAUUUGCCUUGGGCGCAAAAGAUUGUAGGUUCAAAUCCUGCUACUCUAAUC